AGACCCCGCCAGCGCCAGAGACACCGAGGACGUGAGGCCAUGAUGGACUCCGCGCGGAGUCUGGCCUAGACUGCAAGGCCGGCCGUGCAGUCCUGAGGCGAACCGUGGGGUGGGCGCGGCAGGAGUCUGAGUGAUCCGUAGUGGGCACUGGACGCGCCUGUACGUGAGGCGGGUCUGGUCCCGGUCUCCGAGCUGGCUGGACAGUGCGGAAGCGGGAUGGAGCCUGGCUUCAGAACUGCGCGGGUGUGAGGGAGCCUAGGAGUCCCUUGCCUACUACUCUGAGCUGUUCGCUGAGGAACGCCCUGAGAUGGGGCCUACUGUAUUUCCCUGGCUUUACCUGCAACUUUGGUCACAAAUGACCACCUGCCUCAUCCUCUCUAGUAGCAGGGACAACAGUGCUCAUAGUAGAAGCCUUUAGAGCUGGGGUGUGGCCUCACAUGCACCAGACCUUGGAUUGGAUCCCAGUUGUAUUGCAGGAACUUGGUGUAUCAGCCUUGUCUACGUUGGUGAUGCAGACAUUUCCCUUGUUGAUUUUGAUUUUUUUUAGUUGGUUGGUUUGUUUGGGACUGGUUCUCACUAUAUAGGAUGGCCUUGAGCCUUCUAUCUUAUGGUAUGUAUACCUUUCUGUGCUCAGUUCAUGUUAAAAAAAUUGUUCUUGUAGAUUCAUGAUUUCAUGUUUUUAGUCCUACUUUUUCUUUCUAGAAUCUACCUUGAUGUCUUUGGAAGGAUUCUACUUUUUUUUAAUUCAAAAACAUCUAACUGAAUGUUCCAACAGCUUUUUACUGAGUUCUCCUAUUGAUUUUUUUACAUGUAUAUGUAUGUAUGUAUGUAUGUAUGUAUGUGUGUGUGUAUGUAUGCAUGCAUGGAUGAAUGGAUGAAUUGACAUUGAGGGUUCAUUAUGUGACUCAGGCUGGUCUUGAACUCCUGUACUCAUGUGACCCUCCUGUCUUAUCUUGUCUUGGAGCUUGGGCUACAGGUGUGUGCCCUGCUCUUCCCAAUGGAUUUUAAGUUGAUAC
This is a long non-coding RNA of Mus musculus (house mouse), 1016 nucleotides long. RefSeq annotates it as predicted gene, 30927. The transcript has 4 exons. The record is from RefSeq and is marked validated. Lineage: Eukaryota; Metazoa; Chordata; Mammalia; Rodentia; Muridae.